AGUUGUUGUCGUCAAGAGACUUUAUACGAUACUUUUGGGAACGUUAUUGACCAGCCGAAGGCCAAUGUGGAAUGCUUCCUGUUGACUAAAUUGCGUAUUUGCACGUAACACAUGCUGGUCUGUGAAUUUCACAGUUUUUCUUUAGUCUGCAAUCGGUGGCACUGUGUGUCCUGUUUUUUGAAAACGAAUUUUACAGUGUCGUAAAUACACAAUCAAGACAGCGUUAGCAUCUCCAACGAUCGGCUGCCCAAUGAAAGUCUUAUUUCAUUCAACAUCACAUUGGGCAAAUUGCCCAUGAAUGAUGAGGAUGAAAUGAUGAGAACAACACAACACCCAGUCCAUGAGUGGAGAAAAUCUCCAACCCUGCCGGGAAUCGAAUCUGAGCCAACUUGCAUGGGAGAAUAUGGCAUCAGGGAUAUGCAGAAGUUCUGUUUGUGGUGCAACUCUCAUCAAACAAGAGCCAGUUGAGACUGAACCACUUGCAUCCCCAGAGCAAGAGAUCGAGCACAUAUCUGUUAAGCAAGAAACUCCUGUUGAUGUCAACCCACUUGCAUCCCCCAAGCAAGAGAUGGAGUAUGUAUCUGCUAAGGAAGAAACUCCAGAGUGGGAUGUGCCUGAUGACCACAAUAGUAUGCAUGAUCCACAAAGCAUCACCAAAGAGGAGUGUUCAUCUUCAGAAGACUUUCUCAGCCCUAGUGCUCCCAGUAUUGAGGACGACGACGAGGAAGACGAGGAUGCAAUGAGUGAGGACGAUUUUCAGACUGUGUCCAUGAAGCACUAUCCAGCCAAUACCAAGAAAAAGCUGAAAUUUUUGAAGCAGUCAUUAAAUGAAGCUGGAACAAUUACUUGGAAACAAUUAAGUUGGCAAGUGUAGCGGAUCUUUUUCACGCUUGCAACAGCUGAGCAAAUCCACCAUUGCAGAACAUUGUCUUUGCACCGGUCAUCCUAUGGAAUAUAACAACAUGGGGAUUCUGGCAUGCACGUCCAGCUGUUGAGAUCAUGUUAUUCAGCAAACGGUCCAAAUUAAAUAAGCAAAUAAAACCUUAUAAUUAUAGUCCGUGGAUUUUGUUUAACCAUUGUAUGGAAUCCUGCUCCCUCCAUUGUCAAAAGUUCUGAAAUUGAUUGUCUUUGGUUUGUGAUGGCACUGUGUGUGUGUGUGUGUGUGUGUGUGUGUGUGUGUGUGUGUGUGUGUGUCUGUCUGAUAUCUUUCUGUGUGUCUGUCUGAUAUCUUUCUGGAGUUUCUGUGCGAAGCAUUGUCCAUAUCAUUCAAACUCUCUUACAUUUUAGCACUGAUUUUCUUGUUAGCCAGUCAUAUAAUUUUAAUCUGAAAUUUUUAAAUGACAAGGAUCAAGCAGCGAAAGGAAACAUGUCAAAAAUUUUGAGUGUGUUCAUUUUAUGGGAGUUUGCUGUUAUUGUUAGCUUGUGCUUUGGGAUGUCAAUGUUCACCUUUUUUCUAGUCCCAUGUUUAUGAAUUGUUCCUCUGGUAACACAUUCUUUAAUGUUGCUCUUGAUGAAAAGUGCAGACUCAUAGACAUACUUAUUCACCUCUGUUAGUACCCUAAGCUUGGUGAAAAGAAGGUGGCAGUGCUCUUUAGGACCAGCCUUUCAUAUGACACUGGCGGCUUUUUCUUCUUUCUGUCUCUUUUCUUUUCUUUUCUUUUCUUUUCUUUUCUUUUAUGUUCCUGAUAUGAGGAGAAUGUCCCCAUAUGAGUAGGCCAUAUGAAAUAUGUGACUAAAAGAGUGUGAAAUAAGUCAUACAUAAUUAUUGAUAACUGACUGUGAUACACAAUUGGGCAUGUCAUUGACAGCAGCAGUUAAACACAAGCGGUCAAGAACAGAACCCUGCGGAACACCUGUUCCCUUGUAAGAAGGCAUCUGCUGCUGUUCAUGUAGGUAGAAAUUACUGCUAAUGUAGAUUUUUGUAUACUUUAAUACCCUAAUUUUGUUACCAAAAGGAAUGCUUUCAAAUGCUUUACUUAGAUCAAGUGACAUUGUCUUACUAUUUUCUAAAACUGUUAAAAUCUUAUCAACAAUUUCCAGAACAACUGCAGUGGUAUAUUUACCUGGUUGAAAUUCAUACUGACUGUUGCAGAGGAGUUCAUGUUUGUUUUUCAAAAUAAUUGCUUAAUUGAAUGUUCAUGAGUAAUUCAAAGAAUUUUUAAAAUAUUGCCACAAUAGAAACUGGUUGGUAGUACUGAGGGAGCUGCAUAUCACCCAUCUUGUAUAUGGGGUAACUUCUAAGAUUUUGAGUGAAUCCAGAAAAACUCCAUAUUCUAAACAUUCAUUGAAAAUAAUGGUUGUUUUUAUAGUAUUAAGAGUAUAUCCAAUGUGUGUGUAUAUUAUGGUACAUAGAAUAGAAUAACAAUCAAAAAAGGAAAAAUAGUACGAAUGAGCAUUGAAUGUGAUCAUUUUAACACUUGUGUCCACAUUGGGUUACUUGCGUUACCUUUAUAAUUAUAACAGGCAGUUUUUCAGAUGUAUUGAAACUAGUGUACACAAGCCUCAGUUUAUUCCUAAUUUUGUCUUAACAAAUGUCAUAAUAAAAGCAAACUUUAAAUAUCUUCAAAAAA
Schistocerca gregaria is the source of this 2570-nucleotide RNA transcript. It is a transcript of the gene named zinc finger protein 501-like, with no coding region annotated. The transcript is spliced from 9 exons. NCBI's taxonomy places the organism in Eukaryota, Metazoa, Arthropoda, Insecta, Orthoptera, Acrididae. The record is from RefSeq and is a predicted model, not a curated record.